CGCGUAGGUGGUUUGUUAAGUUGAAUGUGAAAUCCCCGGGCUCAACCUGGGAACUGCAUCCAAAACUAGGCAAGCUAGAGUAUGGUAGAGGGUAGUGGAAUUUCCUGUGUAGCGGUGAAAUGCGUAGAUAUAGGAAGGAACACCAGUGGCGAAGGCGACUACCUGGACUGAUACUGACACUGAGGUGCGAAAGCGUGGGGAGCAAACAGGAUUAGAUAUCCUGGUAGUCCACGCCGUAAACGAUGUCAACUAGCCGUUGGGAGUCUUGAACUCUUAGUGGCGCAGCUAACGCAUUAAGUUGACCGCCUGGGGAGUACGGCCGCAAGGUUAAA
Molecule: ribosomal RNA, 332 nt
Filed under: uncultured bacterium
Lineage: Bacteria
Description: bacterial SSU rRNA
Rfam family: Bacterial small subunit ribosomal RNA
Source: RNAcentral